CGUCGCCCCCCAAAAAAAGUCUGUUCAAGGUGGGAAACUUUUUGGAAAGCCACCCAAACUAAGCCCUUCUCCUUUCCCAAAAGGGAAGAGGCCACGAGAUUGCCAGGGCUGGGCUCGUUGGAAAAGCGGCCCCCCCCGCCUCCCAAGUGGGUUUUAACGGUUCCCAAAACAAAGCACCGCCGGCUUGGCUCCAAAUUUAAACCUAAAGUUUCGGAGUCCAAGGGACGGGGAAGAAGCCGGGACCGGCCCUUGCUCCAGGGUCGCCGCCGCCUCCCUCCGUCCGGCAAGAGGGCAGCCGCCCCGGGAAGCAUCUCUCUCGCUCUCUCUCUCCGGAGCAGGAAGCCUGCCGGCGGGUGUGGCCCGACGGCGCGCCGGAGGAAGAGGAAGGCGGCGCCUGGGGUUUGCGGGGAUCGCUCCCGAAAUCGCGUGUCUUGGGGGCACGUGUGGACGCAGCUCACCUCUUUCCCGCGGCUCCCCUCCUUCCUUCCUUCCUUCCUUGGUUCCUCCCUGGCCGCCCCGAUCAGGGCGCCGCGCUCGGCGUCUCCCCUGCCUCCGCGGCCCGGGCGUGGGCCGGCAUCCGAGCCGAGCGGCGCCUCCCUCCCUCCCUUGGCUCGCCCGCCGGGGGGGUGGUGGAAGCCUUCAAGCGCUGGGGGCGCGCCACGAGCAGGACGGCCCGGGGCUUUGGCAGCGGCGGUGGGGCUGCCGGCCGGCCCUUCUUCCCUCCUCGCCUCCUGCCAUCUUCCUCUCGCCGGCUGGAUCUCCGCGCCUGGGCAGGGCGCAAGAGGAGGAGGAGGAGGAGGAGGCAGGGAAGGGAAAAGGAAGGGAAGGCGGGCCGGCGGCGGCGGCGGCGGCUGGGCGAGCCCUCGCCCGCGAUCGGGUCUCCUCCAACUUGGGCAGAGGGAGAGAAGAGAAACAGAAACUCCGAAGGCGCGCCGGGCGCCUUGGAACUGCGGGGGGGGGGAGACCGCCGCUACUGCAGGGCGAGGAGGAAGGGCGGGCCCCGACGGCACCGAGGCUGCUUGGGGGGCGUUCCCCGUCCCCUCCCUCCUCCCCCUCCCCUCCCUCCGGGGCCGCCCCCCUGCCCGGGCUGGCUGGCUGACACUCCCUUCCCUUUUCCCUUCUCCUCCCCGCCGCCGUCACGGCGCGCUCCGCCUCUGGUGCGCCCGCGGUUGGAGAGGCUGCCCUCUUCUCUCUCUCUCCCUCCCCCCGUGGGGAUCGGGGCGCCCUAAGGCUCCUCCUCCUCCUCUCCGGGAAGACCAGGAAGGGGAAGGAGAUGAUGAUGAGGAUGGUGGGAACGCCGCCGGCCCCGAGGAGCGAGGCUUCGCCGCCGCGGGGCGAGGGCGCGCUUUACGCACAGAUGCGCUCCGGCCGCUUGGCGCACGGCCGCCGGAGGGAACCCGAGAUUUUUUUUAA
Molecule: long non-coding RNA, 1413 nt
Filed under: Pogona vitticeps (central bearded dragon)
Lineage: Eukaryota; Metazoa; Chordata; Lepidosauria; Squamata; Agamidae
Description: lncRNA (ENSPVIG00000024433.1)
Source: RNAcentral